RNAcentral lists this ribosomal RNA (441 nucleotides) under Neogale vison (American mink). RNAcentral describes it as "partial small subunit ribosomal RNA". It matches the Rfam family "Bacterial small subunit ribosomal RNA", at positions 767 to 1405 of the family's 1533-position model. Lineage: Eukaryota; Metazoa; Chordata; Mammalia; Carnivora; Mustelidae. The record is from RNAcentral.
CCAAACUGGGAUUAGAUACCCCACUAUGCUCAGCCCUAAACAUAAAUAAUUCACAUAACAAAAUUACUUGCCAGAGAACUACUAGCAAUAGCUUAAAACUCAAAGGACUUGGCGGUGCUUUACAUCCCUCUAGAGGAGCCUGUUCUAUAAUCGAUAAACCCCGAUAAACCUCACCACUUCUAGCUAAAUCAGUCUAUAUACCGCCAUCUUCAGCAAACCCUUAAAAGGAAGAAAAGUAAGCACAAUAAUGAUACAUAAAAAAGUUAGGUCAAGGUGUAACCCAUGAAGUGGGAAGAAAUGGGCUACAUUUUCUAACCAAGAACAUACUCACGAAAGUUUUUAUGAAAACUAAAAACUAAAGGUGGAUUUAGUAGUAAAUUAAGAAUAGAGAGCUUAAUUGAAUAGGGCCAUAAAGCACGCACACACCGCCCGUCACCCUCC